UUGGUUCAUACCUGUUUACUCUUGGGUUCAUAUUUCACCCCUUGUUGGAAUUCAAACAACAUUAUUCUUUAGUUCAGACCAUAAUUUGAUCACAUUUAUUUUCACCUCCCACCUCUAGUUCCUUGAACUACGAAGCUCUGAAUUCCUCAUUGCACUAUGAGGAUACGUAGGCAUGAGGGCCCUAAUCCUCACCGAGCACUC
Molecule: long non-coding RNA, 201 nt
Filed under: Lathyrus oleraceus (garden pea)
Lineage: Eukaryota; Viridiplantae; Streptophyta; Magnoliopsida; Fabales; Fabaceae
Description: Pisum sativum (pea) long non-coding RNA (PSAT_LNC042060)
Source: RNAcentral